Oncorhynchus tshawytscha (Chinook salmon) is the source of this 2338-nucleotide long non-coding RNA. The record is from Ensembl. Lineage: Eukaryota; Metazoa; Chordata; Actinopteri; Salmoniformes; Salmonidae.
AUCUUUCCUGGAGUUGAAACUGCUCUGAGGAAGAGGUCCACAAGUGGUUGAAAGACUUCCAGAGAACAUCAGAUUUGACUUGGAGAAAAAGGGUACUUCUGGCUGAAGUGGACAACAACACAUGUUGUGGUGCAAUAAUGUACUUCAUCCCGAAGAGGUUGAUUCAUUCGCAACGAAGAGAAUCAAGAUCUCCAUAUGAAAGGAGGUUGCCUCUUUCAUGGGCGUUUACGGAAUGGCGACAACCACAGUCUGACAAGUGCUGAGGUGCUGAAGAGGAGAAAUGUGUCAGCGGACACCAUUGAGAAAUUGACAAAGCUGUUUGAAAUAGUCCACUCUCUUUCAUCAGCUCUAAACAUGAUCAAAUAGGAGUUGCAAGUGGAGUAUGGAGACAACCAUGUGCAUGCCUCUGUGGACUCCUCCAUUUGCCCCAGCUUCAAUUCUGCUACAAGUCAGUUGCUUGACACACUUGAUCUGCUGAUUCAUACAGUGUAUUUAAAUGUUAUCACCAGAAAUCAUUUGCUUUAGGUGUGUUCCUCAUUUGUCCAUUACAGAUUAUACCACAAGCUUUUCAAAGAAGCAUGGGUUGCAAUCGUAUGUAGAGAACAAGAUUGAUGAUUCUCAUGAGAAUCUGGAUAACUGCAAUGAAGAAGAAUGUUCACCAGAAUGUUAUGUUUUCGACUGUGGCAACGUGUCUGAGGACACUGUUGUAAUCGAGUGUGCUCCCGUUUCUGAUGUAAACGGCUCAGGUACAUCUGGAAAACCAGCUGAGGGGGCGACGUUAGAGGAAGACUGGAUGGAGAUCUUUGAAGACCUCAAAAAGAAGAUGAGGGAGGAUCUUGUGUGUUUCAGGCCUAAAGUAGCAUCCUUUGUUUCCAGCUUCAAGAAGAUUAAAACAGACAGUGAACUCAUAGCCGCUCUAUCAAACUUUGGCAAAACCAACCCUGGACCAACAGCAAAGUUUCGCCAGGGACACGCACGCCCCGCAAAGAGCUCCAUAGGAGAGUGUGGACAUGGCACAUGCUGCUGGAAGAGGAAGGCACCCAAUUGAAUGUCUGUGUGUGGAAUAGCACAUGGACAUUGGGAGUACUACACAAAAUAAGCAAGUCAACAUCAGUGGCCCCAUGUGCCCAUCAUCCAACUGCUCACCAUCUGUGACCUUCAGUGCACUAGCGCUCUGCCCUCAAACACCCCCCAUCUGCCUACCACCUUUAUGUCAACUCCGCCUUGUACAAAACCAGUGGCUAUUUCAAUGCAUUGUGGCCUCUACAACACUAGAAUCAGUGGCUAUUUCAGUAUUGCAUUCUUGCCUUUUGGUUUUACGUUCAUUCAAUGCAAGACGUUUCUGCAAUUUCAUAUGUUUUGGAAAUUGAUUCCAUGUUUAUGGACCAUCAGACUUUAAAAAGCUGUUCUUCCAACCCAGUUGUAGAUCUACAGGCCUAUACUAUCACUGAACCAAAACAGUAGUUGUCAUGACUUUGCCGAGUCUUAAAUAUAAAAUGCUUAUUUAUAUUUUUUUAUAUACUGGUGUACGCUACCAUUAAAAAGUUUGGGGUCAUUUAGAAAUGUCCUUGUUUUUGAAAGAAAAGCCCCAUUAAAAUAACAUCAAAUUGAUCAGAAAUGCAGUGUAGACAUUGUUUAUGUUAUAAAUGACUUUUUAUUGUUGUUUUUUUAAUAGAAUAUCUACAUAGGCGUACAGGCCCAUUAUCAGCAACCAUCACUCCUGUGUUCCAAUGGCAUGUUGUUUUAGCUAAUCCAAGUUUAUCAUUUUAAAAGGUUCAUUGAUUAUUGCGUCAUCCGAAACAUGACCCGCCAGACCGCACUUCUUAACACCCACCUGCCAGCCACACCAAUGUAUCGGAGGAAACACUGUUCAACUCACUGUUCAACUACCGGGUCAGCCUGCAAGCACCAGGCCUGCCACAAGGAAUCGCUAGAGUGCAAUGAGCUUAGUAAAGCCCCCCCCCCGGCCAAACCCUCCCCUAAUAUGAUCACGGCCGGGUUGUGAUACAGCCUGGGAUCAAACCCGGGUCUGUAGUGACGCCUCUAGCACGGCAAUGCAGUGCCUUAGACUGCGGUGCAACUCGGGAGGCCUUAUAUAUAUAUUAUAUAUGUAUGUGUGUGUGUAUGGUAUGUGGACAUUAGGACUUGGUUAGUAAAUGUAAAAAUGUAGCAUUACAGUAAAUGUGUACAGAAAAUAAGUUGGCACACCUUGAUGUCCUCUACAUUAGACAUUUAUAAACAAGCUCUUAUUUAAUGUGAAGAAAUUAUAAAACUUUUUGAAAACACCCCAAGCUAUUCCUGAGAUACUUCCUUCGUAAAACCUAUUUUAAUUUCAAAC